GGGCUCAUCGGUGCGGUUGCCAAGGGCCAGCAGUUCAGGCCUGCCGAGCGCUUCGUAGAUGUCGCGGAGCGUGACCGCGCUGAGAUCGC
This 89-nucleotide transfer RNA is filed under the name Devosia sp. LC5. RNAcentral describes it as "tRNA-Ser". Lineage: Bacteria; Pseudomonadati; Pseudomonadota; Alphaproteobacteria; Hyphomicrobiales; Devosiaceae. The record is from RNAcentral.